UUCCGUAGGGUGAACCUGCGGAGGGAUCAUUACUGAGUUUACGCUCUACAACCCUUUGUGAACAUACCUACAACUGUUGCUUCGGCGGGUAGGGUCUCCGCGACCCUCCCGGCCUCCCGCCUCCGGGCGGGUCGGCGCCCGCCGGAGGAUAACCAAACUCUGAUUUAACGACGUUUCUUCUGAGUGGUACAAGCAAAUAAUCAAAACUUUUAACAACGGAUCUCUUGGUUCUGGCAUCGAUGAAGAACGCAGCGAAAUGCGAUAAGUAAUGUGAAUUGCAGAAUUCAGUGAAUCAUCGAAUCUUUGAACGCACAUUGCGCCCGCCAGCAUUCUGGCGGGCAUGCCUGUUCGAGCGUCAUUUCAACCCUCAAGCUCUGCUUGGUGUUGGGGCCCUACAGCCGAUGUAGGCCCUCAAAGGUAGUGGCGGACCCUCCCGGAGCCUCCUUUGCGUAGUAACUUUACGUCUCGCACUGGGAUCCGGAGGGACUCUUGCCGUAAAACCCCCCAAUUUUCCAAAGGUUGACCUCGGAUCAGGUAGGAAUACCCGCUGAACUUAAGCAUAUCAAUAAGGCGGAGGAA
Molecule: ribosomal RNA, 579 nt
Filed under: Colletotrichum gloeosporioides
Lineage: Eukaryota; Fungi; Ascomycota; Sordariomycetes; Glomerellales; Glomerellaceae
Description: eukaryotic LSU rRNA
Rfam family: 5.8S ribosomal RNA (bases 205-358)
Source: RNAcentral